GACCGAUAGCGUAUAGUACUGUGAAGGAAAGGUGAAAAGCACUUCGAAUAGAAGGGUGAAAUAGAACCUGAAACCGUACGCCUACAAGCGGUCGGAGCACCUAUAUGGUGUGACGGCGUGCCUUUUGCAUAAUGAGCCUACGAGUUAAUUUUACUAGCGAGGUUAAGGACUUCAGGUCCGGAGCCGGAGCGAAAGCGAGUCUGAAUAGGGCGCAUAGUUAGUAGGAUUAGACGCGAAACCUUGUGAUCUACCCAUGGGCAGGUUGAAGCUCUGGUAACACAGAGUGGAGGACCGAACCGGUUGACGUUGAAAAGUCUUCGGAUGACCUGUGGGUAGGGGUGAAAGGCCAAUCAAACUG
RNAcentral lists this ribosomal RNA (358 nucleotides) under Chaetoceros curvisetus. Its description in RNAcentral is "partial Bacterial large subunit ribosomal RNA". It matches the Rfam family "Bacterial large subunit ribosomal RNA", at positions 482 to 840 of the family's 2925-position model. The record is from RNAcentral. Lineage: Eukaryota; Bacillariophyta; Thalassiosirophyceae; Chaetocerotales; Chaetocerotaceae.